UACGAAGGGGGCUAGCGUUGUUCGGAAUUACUGGGCGUAAAGAGCGCGUAGGCGGUUUAUCAAGUUGGGAGUGAAAUCCCGGGGCUCAACCCCGGAAUUGCUCUCAAAACUAGUAGACUAGAGUAUGGUAGAGGAUAGUGGAAUUCCUAGUGUAGAGGUGAAAUUCGUAGAUAUUAGGAGGAACACCAGUGGCGAAGGCGACUAUCUGGGCCAUUACUGACGCUGAGGUGCGAAAGCGUGGGGAGCAAACAGG
RNAcentral lists this ribosomal RNA (253 nucleotides) under uncultured bacterium. RNAcentral's name for it is "partial 16S ribosomal RNA". It matches the Rfam family "Bacterial small subunit ribosomal RNA", at positions 524 to 776 of the family's 1533-position model. The record is from RNAcentral.